CCGUACUCGACGAAGUGAGUGACAACCACGUUUGAAUUCAUUUGAACAUUUGCGAUGAUACAAGCAAGUGCUAUUGCAUGGCUAUUGCAAGUAAAGUUAAAAUCGCUUUUGAGUUUAGUUUAUGUUACACUCUGUUAUUUUGUAAAAUUUACUUAGGAGUGUUCAAGUUUUCUGUGGUUAUUUAAAGUAUGCUUGACUUCUAUGUGAUUCACAUAGUUUCCUAUUAUGUCAACGCCAUGCUUGAUGCUUCCUAUUGUCUAUUGAACGUGAUAAUUCAGCUUUUGUAACUUCAUGAAACAACCUCUGGAGAUUUUCUCAGGUAGUGCAUCUACCUGUCUCAUGCUGUGAUAGGAAAAUUUAGAGGGCUUCCGAUGUGUGGCGGAGUCGAUCGUUUUUCGUAUCUCUAGUCAGCGACGUGUCCCACAGGAUGUCUAUUUUGUUGGUGGGAUGUUGGAUGACAGGUGCUUGCAGCUUGAUUUUCUGGAUUUCAUUCUGUGGAGGCUUAUGUGACCGGGUGGUGGCUAUCGUAUGUCAUUCAGGUGAUGGUGUGCAGCUCUCGAUUCUACAAUGUAGAAGUUUUUGAGUUUUACUGUAGGCCUACCUUAUGAUGCCGUGCCGUCGGAGUAUUAGUAAGGGGCAGGUUGCGAUGUGGUGCGUUCUGCAGCUGACGGCUUUGUUAAAGGUGGAUAUUCUCAGGUAAUAUGUACAGGUUUUGCUGGUUGUUGCGUUUGUUUCGUCUUGUUGCCGAACGUGGAUUUUUAUGUUAAAUUUGUAAAGGAUUGCCAGUUUUGGGAAUAGUGUGAUGAAAGAUUAGUAUUAGAGCAUUGGGUUCUGAAUUUCACAAUAAUUGUUAUUUCUGAUUAAUUGUCUUGAUCUUGCAUGGACGAACUGAGGAAGUAUUAAGUACAAAACUGGAGAAUGUUUUUUUUUGUGUGUAAGUUUUACGUAUACUGUAAAGUUGUUCAAUUUAGACUGGGGAAUUAUGUAAAUAGUAUCAACACUAAGUUCUCGUCUUGUAUCUCAUAGAAUUCCCUAUUGGUCUUAACCAGUGAAUAUUUGUCAUCUAGAUGGUUACCCUAGAAUUGUGAGAUGAGACUGGAGGAUUAUAGGAGAUGUACAACAAAGGCACAAAGGCGAUGAAAUGGUAUCAUCUUUCUAGUUUCAACUGACUAUUGUGAUGAUUAACAGACCUGUUCUGAUCGCUUUGAAGACUAAUUGUGUUACUUCUGAAUUUGUUAUAAUCAAUCAUGGAACAUCUAUUAUACAGUCUGUUAGCUUAGCUAUCUGAUUUCACAGUUCAGGUAACUAAGUAAACUACUUCAACUGAACUUAUUUCCGCAGUGAUGAUCGUUUUUUCUGAUUCGCACAAUGUUGCUUUCUGAAGUCAAUCAAAAUAUUAGACAUGCAUGACUCUGAGAAAAGCUAUUUGUUUUGUAUUGAAUUAAAUCUUGAUUCCUGUUAAUCCAUGCACUUUGAAAAAUUUAUACAGGUUUUAAUAAGAUGAGGAUCUUUUGGGGUUUCCCGUGAGAUUUCUGUAUUAUGUGAAGGCCAAUGAUCAUUUGUGAUAUAAACUAUUUUGGUUGUUUUUGGACAACAGCCUGCUGGAUUUUAGUAUUGCCAUUUACCUACGGUAUUGCUGCUGCAAAUAUUCUGGCGGCCGCGCAUCUGAAGGACUGAACUGUUACUGUACAAUAGCAAGCGAUAUUGUACAGCGUCUUCCUUUUGCAGGCGAGAAAGACGGCUAGACUAUGACGGCCCGUCAUAGUAAUUCAAGUAUUGGUCUUCUGGAAUUCCCUCAUCCUUAAUAUUCGUCCUUGGCUUAGCUGCCGUGUAAUAGUGGGAAGUUAACGUAUAGGUAAUCAAAACUUUGUGCGUUUGGAGGUUAACAUGAUGGAUUGUAAAUUUCUGACAUCUCUUCUGAGUUUAUCCGUUUAUCAUUGAAGAUAUCUUUACAGCUAAAUAUCUGAAUAAACUAAUGUAGUUUUAAAGUGAGGCUUUAGAUAAUGGUUCAAAAAUGCGUUUAGUUUCAGGGCAAUACUUCGCAGCUUCAUCUGGCACUACCUUACAGCUCGAUAUGCAUUCAGGUUGGUUGAAGUUUGUUGGCAUAACCCACUAAUUAAGCCGAUUGAUUAAGUCCUUAACUGGCAAUUCUUUGGUAUACGGUGGAACAGUAAAUGCUAUUCCGUGUAAGGUGUUCCACCCAUUGCUUGGUGUGAUAUCUAAGGGUUGAAUCAGCAAUAUUUUAAUUAUUAAUUUGAUGGAUGUUUUAUUUGUAGUUUUACCUAAUCCAAUAGUGUCUUAAUGUGUUCUGAGGGUGUGAUUCGUUGGUGGGGCGUUUUUUGAGCUGGUUGCUAAUAUUUUCAUUGAUCUCUUGAAAUAAAAUUGAAA
RNAcentral lists this long non-coding RNA (2388 nucleotides) under Daphnia pulicaria. Its description in RNAcentral is "uncharacterized LOC124329240, transcript variant X20". The record is from RNAcentral. Lineage: Eukaryota; Metazoa; Arthropoda; Branchiopoda; Diplostraca; Daphniidae.